GCUGUAGUUCAAUGGCAGAGCAUCUGCCUCACAUGCAGAAGGUCACAGGUUCAAUCCCUGUCAUCUACA
Molecule: non-coding RNA, 69 nt
Organism: Podarcis lilfordi (Lilford's wall lizard)
Lineage: Eukaryota; Metazoa; Chordata; Lepidosauria; Squamata; Lacertidae
Source: the annotation of a GenBank genome assembly